UUUGACAUGUGUAUUGGAGUUAGGGCACCAAAUUGGGGCUUUUGCUCAUGGGAAUUUCUAAGUGCAAUUGACUCUCUAAAAACCUAAUUGGGGGUAUUUCCGACGCGUUGGUGUGCUCGAAUUAACGUUACGAAAAGCCGAUGAAAAGAUAUGAGCAAAAUGACCUAUUAGUGUGAGCCAAAGAACUAAAGUGAUGUAAAGAAUGAUGAAAAUGACAAUGUGUAAAGUUAAAGUAAAGUGGGGCAAUAAGAACGAGGAAUGUAACGAACAAGAAUGCUAGAGCUAGCAGAAGUAAAGAUAUGUAAAGGAUGUGAUUGCAUGAGUUUGCAACAUAAAGUAAUGUAAUGAACACUAGAGCUAGUGUAAAGUCAAGAUUGAACUUAUAAAUCCUUUGAGUUAAGGAUAUGAUCAU
This 412-nucleotide long non-coding RNA is filed under the name Ananas comosus (pineapple). RNAcentral describes it as "long non-coding RNA (ACOM_LNC040271)". The record is from RNAcentral. Lineage: Eukaryota; Viridiplantae; Streptophyta; Magnoliopsida; Poales; Bromeliaceae.